GGCCCCAUGGUCAAGCGGUUAAGACGGAGCCCUCUCAAGGCUCAAUCAGGAGUUCGAUUCUCCUUGGGGUCACCA
Molecule: transfer RNA, 75 nt
Filed under: Clostridiales bacterium
Lineage: Bacteria; Bacillati; Bacillota; Clostridia; Eubacteriales
Also listed under: 1 other name
Description: tRNA-Glu
Rfam family: tRNA
About the family: Transfer RNA (tRNA) molecules are approximately 80 nucleotides in length. Their secondary structure includes four short double-helical elements and three loops (D, anti-codon, and T loops). Further hydrogen bonds mediate the characteristic L-shaped molecular structure. tRNAs have two regions of fundamental functional importance: the anti-codon, which is responsible for specific mRNA codon recognition, and the 3' end, to which the tRNAs corresponding amino acid is attached (by aminoacyl-tRNA synthetases). tRNAs cope with the degeneracy of the genetic code in two manners: having more than one tRNA (with a specific anti-codon) for a particular amino acid; and 'wobble' base-pairing, i.e. permitting non-standard base-pairing at the 3rd anti-codon position.
Source: RNAcentral